GUUUUGUCAGUUUGAGGACCUGCUAACAGUCUAAAAUCAGGAACAUAAUAUAUUUCAGACCUAGAGCUGGGGUCAGUAACUUAAGUAGUGGGGAGAGGGUGUUAUUUUGUAAGGUGUGGGCCAUUGGAUCCCUGCGUCAGCAGUUCAGCUAACGGUGUAGACACAGCACAGAGGUAACUAUAAACCAUACGGAGGUGGAGCAUUAUAGCUGUGUCCACUACAGUUAUGAAACAAACACCAGGGAUGGGCAGGUUAUUAAUAAACAUUUUUGUUAAUUUUCACUUGACAGAAGCACAAGAUCAAGGUACAAGCUCUGUGCAACAUGAUGAAAAAAUGGAAGAACCCUUAGACAGGAUUGAAUUGGAGUAUUUACGCCUAAAAGAAAAUGUGAAAAGCCUCGAAAUGGAGAUUUUGAGCCA
Molecule: long non-coding RNA, 419 nt
Filed under: Cavia porcellus (domestic guinea pig)
Lineage: Eukaryota; Metazoa; Chordata; Mammalia; Rodentia; Caviidae
Description: lncRNA (ENSCPOG00000038823.1)
Source: RNAcentral